AGCAUAUUAUCAUAACAAUUGAAGAAACUAAAAAUUUGGAGGAGAUGUCGAUUGAUCAAUUAAUGGGAUCCUUACAAGCAUAUGAAGAAAAGCAUAAGAAAAUUGGAGGAGAUGUCGAUUGAUCAAUUAAUGGGAUCCUUACAAGCAUAUGAAGCAAAGCAUAAGAAAAAACAAGAUAUAGUGGAGCAAUUAUUCAAGAUGCAAAUAAAAGAUAAGGAAGAAAGUAUCAGAAAUGGAUGAGGUCAAUAUGGAAGAGGUCGUGGUCGUGGACGAGGUCGAGGCCAUGGACGUGGACGAGGAGGUUUCAACAACAAUAAAGAAUGAAGAGAAUACCCAAGUCGUGGGAGAGGCAACCAAG
Molecule: long non-coding RNA, 358 nt
Filed under: Nicotiana benthamiana
Lineage: Eukaryota; Viridiplantae; Streptophyta; Magnoliopsida; Solanales; Solanaceae
Description: long non-coding RNA (NBEN_LNC005251)
Source: RNAcentral